RNAcentral lists this ribosomal RNA (2951 nucleotides) under Trachelomonas sp. T502. RNAcentral's name for it is "SSU rRNA". It matches the Rfam family "Eukaryotic small subunit ribosomal RNA". Lineage: Eukaryota; Euglenozoa; Euglenophyceae; Euglenales; Euglenaceae. The record is from RNAcentral.
AACCUGGUUGAUCCUGCAGUAGUCAUAUGCUCGUUCAAGGGCUAAGCCAUGCAGGUCUCAGCGCACAUGGAAUCCAAACAGUUGGUCUGUGAAUGGCUCCUUACAUCAGCAGUCAUCCCAGUGAUAGAGUGUGAUUGAUUCCCUCAUCUCCCUGUGAGAGAGGACUGAGGAUCCCCUUUGGACAUCCUCAAAAACCUUGUGGCUAAUACACGAAAGUACAAACCUGCCACCUAUCCAUGCCAGUGGUGACCAGAGUAAGUUCCAUUCCCCGUACCCUUGGGGGUGGCCGGGUGCUGGCAGGUGGUGGGUUGCAGACAGCUGGAAUCCCAAGACUGGUGCCAGUGUGGAGUAUCCCUCCCAGAAUGGCAGCUUCCCAGGCAGAAUCAGGCUGUUCCUGUGUGUCUCUCUCCUCCUGCACAGGAGCAACCCUUGUGGACCCCAGCGUUGGCUGACCUCUGUUCUGCCCCCGGGCAGACAGAACUCAAAAGGCUUGAUCACUCAGAACUUCUGACCUAUCAGCUGUGACUGUGGUGUAGUGGACCACAGUGGCCUUGACGGGUAACAGAGAAUCAGGGUUCGAUUCUGGAGAGGGAGCCUGAGAGAUGGCUACCACUACCAAGGUGGGCAGCAGGCGCGCAAAUUGCCCAAUACAGAAUCAUUCUUGUGAGGCAGCGACGAACUGCAGCAAGCCCUGCUGGUUUCAAACUGGCAGGAAUGGAAUGGAUGCUAUGCAAACACAGUCAUGAGCAACAACUGGAGGGCAAGUCUGGUGCCAGCAGCCGCGGUAAUUCCAGCUCCAGAGGCGUAUACUAACAUUGCUGCUGUUAAAACACUUGUAGUCUGCCUGAGGGCUGCAGGUCUGCCAAGUGGCCUGUGGGGUCCUCUUCCCAACAGCCCCCUGGGGUUGCCCUUCUCCCUUGCCCCUCGUGGGUUUUGGGGCUGGGUCUUCCCCUGUGGUGGUCUGUGAUGGAAGCCCCACUGGAAAUAACCCUUGGACAGUAUGUCCCUGCUCCCAACCGUUUCACUUCCCAAAGCAGAUCGAUGGUGAAGGCUUGUUCCCUGCUGUAAGCCUCCUUUGGUGGAGGUCAAAGUGGUGCUUGCACCCAAGGCUUGUUGUGUUAACAGUAACCCUGUCACAAGGCAAAGAUGGAGCCAUUGCCUUUGCGUUGAUGGAUGAACUCCAGCCCACCUCCGGGACCCACCAUCAGGCAACCCUGGAAAACUCAGUGUGUUCAAAGCAUCCUGGCCCGUGAUUGUUCUACAAUCCAACCUCUAGAAAUGAGGACGAAUGCUCAUCCAUGGAUUGCACAGCAUCGACCAGAUUUGUGUCCCACAGCAUGCCCCUCUCCAUGGGGACUCUGUGUGUGUGGCUCCACCCCGGUGGUUGCCGUCACACCUCUGUCUCAGUGGGUUUGCUCCUCAAGGUGGGAUACCAAACUCUCAACAGUUUGGUGGCAACACCAUUCUGCCAGUCUUGGUGCCAUCAGGAGAAUGUGGGCCUGUGCCCAGCCUGCAAGGGGGUUGCUUUCGCCACACCAGUGGUUGGAGGCUCUCUCCCUUCAGUCUGUGUUCAAUGCACAGCCCUUGACGUCAGUGAUGGGACUGCUCAGGGUGGAAGGUACAGCAACGCCAGAGGUGAAAUUCUUAGACCGCUGCUAGACCAACUGCAGCGAAGGCGUUCUGCAAGUGCAUGUCCGUCGAUCAAGAAUGAGAGCUUGGGGAACGAAGAUGAUCAGACACCGUUGUAGUCCAAUGCUGUAAACCAUGUCAGCUCGGGGUUGGAUGGGCAAGACAACAUUGCUACCCAUUCAGCCCCAUGCCCCCUUCAACGAGAAAUCCAAGCCUGUGGAUUCAGGGGGGAGUACUGUUGCAAGGCUGAAACUUAAAGGAAUUGACGGAAUGGCACCACAAGGUGUGGAGUAUGCGGCUUAAUUUGACUCAACACGGGGAAUGUUACCAGGUCAGGACAUUGCCAGGAUGGACAGAUUGAGAGCUCUUUCUUGAUUCUUUGGAUGGUGGUGCAUGGCCGCUCCUGAUUGGUGGAGUGAUUUGUCUGGUUGAUUCCGAUAACGAGUGAGAUCUCUGCCUCCCUGUAGGCCACCCACUCGCAUCUGUAGGGUGGAGAGCUGGUUGGAAAGUCAGUGCCCCACGGCUCCAGCCGUUGGUGGCCCCACACGUCACAGACCCUGGGUGUCAUCCGUGGUGUGGGACAGGACAGGGUGGUGGUCCCUGCUGGACUCUAGGUCUUCCCAAGCCUGGGUUUCCUGGACCAGCAGUGGUUCCCCUGCCCGACUCCUGUUCCCCACGGGUGCCCCCGAAUGUGUGUGUGGUGGCCUUCAUGCCAACCGUCUGGAUGUCUGUGUUCCCAUGUGGCCCUGGCCUCUCCACCAGUUUCUCGCCUGAGAGUGGGCUGUGUUGAGCUUCCAGCCAUGAGAGAUUCAGCAUUAGCUUCCCUGAGGCGCUGCGGCUGUUGCCAAAGCCGUGCACGCGAGAGCCAACAGCAGGUCUGUGAUGCUCCCAGAUGUCCUGGGCUGCACGCGCACUACAUUGACACAGUGAAUGUGCCCUAUUUGCUCCUCUCCCUGUGAGCCCUGACCCGAAGGGGUUGGGAAAUCAUUCAAGUCUGUGCUGUGCUGGGGAUAGAUGUUUGCAACUAUCUGCCUUGAACGAGGAAUACCUAGUAAGGCUCUGUCAUCAGCAGAGUCUGAUUGUGUCCCUGCCAUUUGUACACACCGCCCGUCGUUGCUACCGAUGGGAUCAGAGCAGAGCCCCAAGGAGACCCCAAACCUCCCUGGCCUGGCAGGCUCCCAUAGUAGGGUACCCACAAAARGUAUCCUCUUUGCCUGUUCAGCCGCUGGGGAAAGCAGGGGUGGUUCAUCCACCUCUGUCUCAUCUCCCAGGGUCAAACUUGAGCAAUGCUCAGUGGAGGAGGAAGCAAAAGUCGAACAAGG